ACAUAGCAGGUUUAUUUUUAGAGCAUGGGACUCUUAAUCCCAGGGUCGUGGGUUCGUGCCCCACGUUGGGCG
Molecule: transfer RNA, 72 nt
Filed under: Myotis lucifugus (little brown bat)
Lineage: Eukaryota; Metazoa; Chordata; Mammalia; Chiroptera; Vespertilionidae
Rfam family: tRNA
About the family: Transfer RNA (tRNA) molecules are approximately 80 nucleotides in length. Their secondary structure includes four short double-helical elements and three loops (D, anti-codon, and T loops). Further hydrogen bonds mediate the characteristic L-shaped molecular structure. tRNAs have two regions of fundamental functional importance: the anti-codon, which is responsible for specific mRNA codon recognition, and the 3' end, to which the tRNAs corresponding amino acid is attached (by aminoacyl-tRNA synthetases). tRNAs cope with the degeneracy of the genetic code in two manners: having more than one tRNA (with a specific anti-codon) for a particular amino acid; and 'wobble' base-pairing, i.e. permitting non-standard base-pairing at the 3rd anti-codon position.
Source: Rfam by way of RNAcentral